Seriola aureovittata is the source of this 460-nucleotide long non-coding RNA. RefSeq lists it as uncharacterized. Lineage: Eukaryota; Metazoa; Chordata; Actinopteri; Carangiformes; Carangidae. The record is from RefSeq and is a predicted model, not a curated record. The transcript is spliced from 3 exons.
CUUCUCAUUGCUAUGCUGUGGUGCACAGGAGAUGAAGCAGGACUUUUCAAAACCUCUCCUACCCAGUAAAUCACUACACAGAGCACCUCGUCAGCAGCGAGAGGGUGGCAGAAAAGAAAAUGUGGUCCAUCCAUCAGGCUGAAGGAGGGAUGUUGCACACACCACACAAAUACACACACACACGUGGAGGGAUGAGUGUGUAUGGCAGCACCUGUCCUCUGAGAUAAAGGACUCCUACAGUGGCAUCCAUCCACUCAGACAGAGCAGCAGGGAAAGAACAUGACAGACGAAUGCUCACACAAGGAAACGAGGUGGUUUGAGAUGAUGAGUGCAGCUGAUGUGUCUGUAUCUGUCUGCGCCGUGGUGACACAGCACCCUGCCCUGCCAACUCAUUGUGCUCACUGACAUUUCUCCAAAUUGAGGCUCUGACAUGAAGGACAGGGGCGGUGCAGAUGAAAGC